AUGCUUGUCUCAAAGAUUAAGCCAUGCACGUGUCAGUAUAAGCUUUUAUACGGUGAAACUGCGAAUGGCUCAUUAAAUCAGUUAUAGUUUAUUUGAUGGUUCCUUUACUUGGAUAACCCGAGUAAUUCUCUGGCUAACAAAUGCAGAAGACCCUUUAUUGGGUUGUAUUUAUUAGAUCUUUACUGACUCUGUUGGUGAGUCAUAAUAAGAUAACAGAUCGCAUCGAGGUAACUCGGCGACGGAUCAUUCAAGUUUCUGCCCUAUCAACUUUCGAUGGUACGGUAUUGGCCUACCAUGGUGACAACGGGUAACGGGGAAUA
This 320-nucleotide ribosomal RNA is filed under the name uncultured fungus. RNAcentral's name for it is "SSU rRNA". It matches the Rfam family "Eukaryotic small subunit ribosomal RNA", at positions 28 to 371 of the family's 1831-position model. The record is from RNAcentral. Lineage: Eukaryota; Fungi.